This 253-nucleotide ribosomal RNA is filed under the name uncultured bacterium. RNAcentral describes it as "partial 16S ribosomal RNA". It matches the Rfam family "Bacterial small subunit ribosomal RNA", at positions 524 to 776 of the family's 1533-position model. The record is from RNAcentral.
UACGGAGGAUCCGAGCGUUAUCCGGAUUUAUUGGGUUUAAAGGGUGCGUAGGCGGUUUGAUAAGUUAGAGGUGAAAUGUCGGGGCUCAACCCCGAAACUGCCUCUAAUACUGUUGGACUAGAGAAUAGUUGCGGUAGGCGGAAUGUAUGGUGUAGCGGUGAAAUGCUUAGAGAUCAUACAGAACACCGAUUGCGAAGGCAGCUUACCAAACUAUAUCUGACGUUGAGGCACGAAUGCGUGGGUAGCAAACAGG